CCCCAUGUGUCUCAAUCCCCUAGCCCCCCCUAUGUGUCUCAAUCCCCCAGGCCAACAUAUGUGUCCCCUCUCCCUGGUCUAACAGGAAGCAGUUCAGCACUCUCUGUGCUCACUUCCUGUCAGACUGGCCCGGUAGAGGGAAAAAAAAGCUUCUCUCCCGCGGUCCAUGCUUGGCCACGCUACAUACAGAGACCGGCAGCAGGGAAACUCUGUGCUGUGCUCUCCUCCUGCCGGUCACCCAAAUCCUGUGCCUCAGGGCUGGUGCGCCCUAGGGCAACCGUCUG
This is a non-coding RNA of Pelobates cultripes (western spadefoot toad), 284 nucleotides long. NCBI's taxonomy places the organism in Eukaryota, Metazoa, Chordata, Amphibia, Anura, Pelobatidae. The record is from the annotation of a GenBank genome assembly.